AUCGUCUUCUUCCAGAUAUUAAAAUGAUUAACAUAUGCAUAUGACUUUAAAAUUUUGCAUUUAUUUCAAUGAACUUAAAAUAUAUCAAACCGCACAAAGGUCACCACAAUUUAUCUCUUUAAAGGCUUCAAAGUACCCUAGGUUGUAAUGAGACAUCUGUGAAGCAUUUUUUUGUCUUUAGAGAUAUGUUACAAACAUCCUUUAAAAACAUCCUUGAACAUCCUCGUCAUGCAGUAUGUUGAAUUUUUUUAGGCAACGGGCGUUAAAGCUGAAGUGUCUUAUGCCUCGCCAUGGUCUAAGAGGGGUCGUAUUACACAGCCUGAGAGUCCGACCAACAUCGGUUUGGUCCGCUGUUCUCCGUUCCUGGUAACGAAAGGGAAUUUGACCUCGGCGGUGCAUCUGUAACGCAAUCUCCACAAUGAAAAUCGACAGUUGGCGUACUUAUACGCCCGGCAAGACGGGUUGAUAUCCUUUGCAUUUGCCUCAGCUAGCUUGGCAAUGGACUUGAAUCCUAAUUCGCAAUCAGUCACUCGAUGUUCUGGCGGAAAAAGACACGCACAUCCACGGCCUCCACGACACGGAUCCGACUUCAGCCAAGAUUUCAAGUUACUUCUUGCCCGCUCUAGUGUUAGUUCUGACUGCAAUAAAUUAAAUUCAACGGAUAAGUCUUUGAGCGAGACAACCUUCUUCUUCACGGAUUCUAUUCCUCUCACAUUAGUGGUAGUCAAAGUGACCUCGGCAGUGCAUUUGUAAUAUAAAUAUAAGCACUGCUUCAUCGGCCGACAACUAGCAAACGUCGCGCUCUUGCAGUGCGCGUGGACAUCGCUUGCUCCCGCCUCGGCUAGCGUCUUGAUGGACGCGAAUGCCUCAUCGCACUCUUGGAACCGAAAAUCUGGAGGCUCAAGACAUGGUGCUCCGCGGCCUCCACGGCACGGAUCCGACUUUAAAGAUUGAGUAAAGAUCUGCCUUGCCUCCGCUGUUGUUAGUGACUGAAAUAAAAUAAAUCAAACGGAAACGAUUAACUGCAUUGUGACGAGUCUGGGGGUGCAUUUAACUACUCUUCCGUGCUAAGCAAAAACGCCGCGCCGCGGCCGUAUGAACAUACGAGAGUUGCUUAAUUUCUUCGGACAAAGCUUGUAUUUUUGACGAAAUUUAUGUAUAUUUUUCAUUAUAAUUUUCAGAUAUUUUAGAUUAAAUUGCGAACAAAAUCGUCUGAAAAUUGGAAGACAAAUAUUUACUAUUCCGUCAAUAAAUUUGUAUUUCAUUAGAGGAAAUUUGGUAACGCCUGGAGGUUCGUACGGCAUUUUUCUUAGCACGGCAGUACUGCAGACUGCCCCUCCUACUUCUUAUAAAUCCCAUUCAGUGCGCAUUAAAAGAACGUGUAGUCCAAAGCACAGAAAUUCAAAAAGAGUAAGUGAUUUUUUUACUUGGGGUCAUGAGGUGAGCCCUGGAUCCUGUCCUUUAGGGGUAAAAUCAUCUCAUGGGCUCAUAGUUCCCUCGAGUGCGUUGUGUAUCUCACUACUGUCUGAGAGUCAUUUUUCCUGGCUGGCGAUAAUCACCUGCUCUGCCGUGCCAAGGAAAAAUGCCGUUUGAGCCUUUAGGCGUGGCCAAAAACAGGAUUUUAUUGUUAAUUUGGCAGCUCCAGUUCUCCCCACCACUCUCUUCUUCAGGUUGGUAAUGUUGUUAAGUUCCCAAGAAUCCACAUUGGGUACCAAUAUAAGCAUUCCUGAAUUUACUAUACGAAUUAAAUAAUUGCUGUUGCCGUAUGGCAACGCGAUGCAGUAUAAAGGGA
This 1792-nucleotide long non-coding RNA is filed under the name Bemisia tabaci. RNAcentral's name for it is "lncRNA ENSSSA1UGG001219". Lineage: Eukaryota; Metazoa; Arthropoda; Insecta; Hemiptera; Aleyrodidae. The record is from RNAcentral.